This is a non-coding RNA of Triticum aestivum (bread wheat), 98 nucleotides long. The record is from Rfam. NCBI's taxonomy places the organism in Eukaryota, Viridiplantae, Streptophyta, Magnoliopsida, Poales, Poaceae.
CAACUACUCCCUCUGUCCCAAAUUUCUUGUCUUAGAUUUGUCUAGAUACGGAUGUAUCUAAUACUAAGACGAGAAUUUUGGGACAGAGGGAGUACUUU